UACGUAGGUGGCGAGCGUUGUCCGGAUUUACUGGGCGUAAAGGGAGCGUAGGCGGACUUUUAAGUGAGAUGUGAAGUACCCGGGCUCAACUUGGGUGCUGCAUUUCAAACUGGAAGUCUAGAGUGCAGGAGAGGAGAAUGGAAUUCCUAGUGUAGCGGUGAAAUGCGUAGAGAUUAGGAAGAACACCAGUGGCGAAGGCGGUUCUCUGGACUGUAACUGACGCUGAGGCUCGAAAGCGUGGGGAGCAAACAGGAUUAGAUACCCGGGUAGUCCCU
Molecule: ribosomal RNA, 275 nt
Filed under: uncultured prokaryote
Description: partial 16S ribosomal RNA
Rfam family: Bacterial small subunit ribosomal RNA
Source: RNAcentral